UACGAAGGGUGCAAGCGUUGUCCGGAAUUAUUGGGCGUAAAGAGCUCGUAGGCGGUUUGUCGCGUCUGGUGUGAAAAUCCAGGGCUUAACCCUGGACCUGCAUCGGGUACGGGCAGACUAGAGUGCGGUAGGGGAGAUCGGAAUUCCUGGUGUAGCGGUGAAAUGCGCAGAUAUCAGGAGGAACACCGGUGGCGAAGGCGGAUCUCUGGGCCGUAACUGACGCUGAGGAGCGAAAGCAUGGGGAGCGAACAGG
This 253-nucleotide ribosomal RNA is filed under the name uncultured bacterium. Its description in RNAcentral is "partial 16S ribosomal RNA". It matches the Rfam family "Bacterial small subunit ribosomal RNA", at positions 524 to 776 of the family's 1533-position model. The record is from RNAcentral.